Molecule: non-coding RNA, 804 nt
Organism: Caenorhabditis elegans
Lineage: Eukaryota; Metazoa; Nematoda; Chromadorea; Rhabditida; Rhabditidae
Gene: anr-46
Product: ncRNA
Source: Ensembl
GAAUUGGCCUCUCGCACUAACUAAUAGUAAGUAUAUAAAAUCAAGAAUUAUUGAAAACAAAACAACAAAUGUUUCGUUGGUUGACAAUAUUUUAAUAGAACGAACGAUAAGUAGUCUAUAAGCUGUCAAAGGUGAACUUCAAUACUGUACUAAUACUUUACUAAUAUAUAUAUAUAUAUAUAUAUAUAUAUAUAUAUAUAUAUAUAUAUAUAUAUAUAUAUAUAUAUAUAUAUAUAUAUAUAUAUAUAUACUCAUAUUAUACUAAUACGAAUGCAAUACAAUACGGUAUGUGAAUACUUUUGCCAUUUCAAUAUACCUUAUAUUAUCUUCACUUUCAUCAAUUGAUUCUUCAGGUAGAUCAAGUAUCUGCUCCAGUAAAUCUCUGCUGUCAAUUUCGACGGUCAAUAAUGUUAAUCUUGCAUUCGUCUCGGACAAUAGCCAACUUCGGAAAAAUCUAUUCAAGUCAGCAGGCCUCAAACUGGACAAAAAGAGAAAUAACUUCACGCAGUCGCAUUUUAGUAGUUUGUCAAUGUUAAACCAAUUUGAGUAGUUUAUAUACAAUUCGGGCAGAUCAAACAGAAUAUCACAUUGAAAGUUGUCUUCUACAACCAUAUCAAGACCCAAACACCGUUCGACUUUCCGAAUUCUGUUCCAGACUGCUGAAAAUGUUUCAGUUGACACAUUCUUUCCUCUGAUAAGGAAAUUUUGGACAGUGUCUUGUUUAGAAAACAACCAGUCGAUUAUUGAUUGAUGUUGAUUUUUAAAUAAAGUUACAUCAAUUCCAAUAAAAUAGAUUGGAGUGUU